This 440-nucleotide ribosomal RNA is filed under the name uncultured bacterium. RNAcentral describes it as "partial 16S ribosomal RNA". It matches the Rfam family "Bacterial small subunit ribosomal RNA", at positions 338 to 795 of the family's 1533-position model. The record is from RNAcentral.
CCUACGGGUGGCAGCAGUCGGGAAUAUUGCUCAAUGGGGGAAACCCUGAAGCAGCAACGCCGCGUGGGGGAUGAAGGUUCUAGGAUUGUUAAACCCUUUUGUUAGAGAAGCAAAUGACGGUAUCUGACGAAUAAGCAGAGGCUAACUCCGAGCCAGCACCCGCGGCAAUACGGAGGGUGCAAGCGUUACUCGGAAUCACUGGGCGUAAAGAGCGAGUAGGCGGGAUAGGAAGUGAGAUGUGAAAUGCUAUGGCUUAACCAUAGAACUGCAUUUGAAACUGUUAGUCUAGAGUAUGGGAGAGGUAGGUGGAAUUCUUGGUGUAGCGGUGAAAUCCGUAGAGAUCAAGAGGAAUACUCAUUGCGAAGGCGAGCUGCUGGAACCUAACUGACGCUGAUGCGCGAAGGCGUGGGGAGCGAACAGGAUUAGAUACCCUUGUAGUC